GAUGAAGAACGCAGCGAAAUGCGAUAAGUAAUGCGAAUUGCAGAAUUUCCGUGAGUCAUCGAAUCUUUGAACGCACAUUGCGCCCACUGGUAUUCCGGUGGGCAUGCCUGUUCGAGCGUCAUUUCAACCAUCAAGCCCUGCUUGUGUUGGGGUCCUGCGGCUGCCCGCAGGCCCUGAAAACCAGUGGCGGGCUCGCUAGUCACACCGAGCGCAGUAGCACAUCUCGCUCAGGGCGUGCGGCGGGCUCCAGCCGUUAAAGCACCCACCUUUCGCAAGGUUGACCUCGGAUCAGGUAGGAAUACCCGCUGAACUUAAGCAUAUCAAUAAGCGGAGGA
This 335-nucleotide unclassified non-coding RNA is filed under the name soil metagenome. RNAcentral's name for it is "partial contains 5.8S ribosomal RNA, internal transcribed spacer 2, and large subunit ribosomal RNA". The stretch from base 1 to 121 matches the Rfam family "5.8S ribosomal RNA", at positions 35 to 154 of the family's 154-position model. The record is from RNAcentral.